This 460-nucleotide ribosomal RNA is filed under the name uncultured bacterium. RNAcentral describes it as "partial 16S ribosomal RNA". It matches the Rfam family "Bacterial small subunit ribosomal RNA", at positions 338 to 795 of the family's 1533-position model. The record is from RNAcentral.
CCUACGGGAGGCAGCAGUGAGGAAUAUUGGUCAAUGGCCGGAAGGCUGAACCAGCCAUGCCGCGUGAAGGUCAGUGCCCUAUGGGCGUUAAACUUCUUUUGUGCGGGAGCAAUAAUGGUCACGUGUGGCCAGACGAGAGUACCGUACGAAUAAGCAUCGGCUAACUCCGUGCCAGCAGCCGCGGUAAUACGGGGGAUGCAAGCGUUAUCCGGAUUUAUUGGGUUUAAAGGGGGCGUAGGCUGUGAGGUAAGUCAGCGGUGAAAUGCCCGCGCUCAACGGGGUGAAGUGCCAUUGAUACUGCCUUGCUGGAAUGCGGAUGACGUGGGAGGAAUGUGUGGUGUAGCGGUGAAAGGCAUAGAUAUCACACAGAACACCGAUUGCGCAGGCAUCUCACGAAUCCGCGAUUGACGCUGAUGCACGAAAGCGUGGGUAUCAAACAGGAUUAGAUACCCUUGUAGUC